Molecule: non-coding RNA, 165 nt
Filed under: human gut metagenome
Source: RNAcentral
GGUACCGGCGGGGAGAAUAGGGAACCGGGUGAAAAUCCCGGACGGUACCGCCGCUGUAUGCGCCGAUACUCCCCCCGCGCAAGUUUGUCACUGGGAAACCGGGAAGACAAGGGAGGGGACUGCGGAAGCAAUUCCGCCCGGCGCGAGUCAGAAGACCUGCUUGAA